This 8833-nucleotide long non-coding RNA is filed under the name Citrus x clementina. RNAcentral describes it as "Citrus clementina (C. clementina) long non-coding RNA (CCLE_LNC005155)". The record is from RNAcentral. Lineage: Eukaryota; Viridiplantae; Streptophyta; Magnoliopsida; Sapindales; Rutaceae.
UUACGUUUUAAUGGGGUCACAGCAAACUUUAUAUUGUUCCCGUUUUCAAGGCAUUGCAUAAGAAUUUUGGCAAAAACACAAGAGAAAAUGUUUCCCAAGCCUGAAGAAAUAAAUAAUGCUUCUUUUAAAAAUCCAUAAAUCCCUGCUCUUUCUUCAAAACCAAGAACUACAGGGCGUUAAGGGAUUCAAGUUUAUUGAAGUGAAGCCCAAAUACCUGUCCAUGAGCUGUUCUCUUGGCAGUGUUGGUGGAAGAGUUGCAUCGAAUUUUCCUCCCCAAUUGAAUUGGCCACCGGAAUAUUUUUUUAACCACAUCCUGAAACCAACUACCAGGUUAUCGGAUUUUGUUGGCACAAAACAAGCUUUCUGCCAAUUAGCAGGGCCAACAGCCAUUAUCUUUCGCUCCUGCAGGGAGAAACCAAAGUCAGGUAACAAUAUGUUGCAGAGAAUUUUAUUCGCGGCUAGAAACAACGGAGAAGCUAUUCAUUUCUUUUAUCGUAGGAAAGUAGUAUUUAAAUCAACAAAGUGUUAUUUUAAUCAACACUUUCUAUUGAGAAGAAAAACAAAAAUAUGCUUUUCGGAUGGUGUCACAAUCAAUCUAGUAAAAUGAAAUGGUUGACGAGUCUAAUAUCUGAGUUUGAGGCCUAGACUGGAGGAGCAGGGGUUGUUUGAUUUUUUUUUUCUCAGUUUGAAUCUUAAUUGUUUUAUGAUAUUUACUGUCUUUUUUUUAUUACUUAUAUCUAAUUAUAAGAUGUUUAGAUCUAAAUACAAAAAGUUAAAUACUACAACUUUUAUCUAAAUUGUAAAAUAUUUAAAUGUAAUUUUAAUAUUCUCUCUCGUUAAUAUUCAUAUUAAAUAAAUUUAUUCCCUAUCAUAUAAAUAAUUUUAUUAUUUUUUAUUUACCUUUUUUUGGUUAUAUACAUGUAUUCAACUAUAUAUAUAUAUAUAUAUAUAUAUAUAUAUAUAUUGUGAAUUAGAAUUUUGAACAUAAUCGAACUUUAGAUGAGUGUGUUUUAUAAUAGACCUAUCCAGGGGCGGAUCUAGCAUGUGACUAGUGGGGGCUUGAGCCCCCACUGGCAAAAUAAAAAAUUAAAAUUUAAAAAAAAAAUAUUUUAGUUUUUUAAUUAGCCCCCAUAAAAAAUUAAUUAAAAUAAUCACUAUAAAUUAUAAAUCUCCAUAAAAUUUAAAUUUGAACUUUUAAGAAUUAUAAAAACUUAUAGUUUAAUUAAAAAUAAUGAUAGUCCACCACUCAAAAUAUUUUCAAUUCUAAAAAAUAGGAUUAAUUCUUCCAGUCUCUAUAAUAAUACUAGAGCGAACAUUUUCAGUAAUGAAACUCAUGAAAAAUCAUUUUUGGAAUCAUAUGGGAUAAAUGAUAGUUUGAUUGUUUAUAUACGAAACAAUAAAUUUAAUAAUAUUGAUAAUGAGUCAAUUGUAUAACAUUUUUAAAAUAUAAAAAUGCGCAGAGAAUAAUUAUAAAUGUACUAGCAAAUAUUUUAUAUAUUUAAAAUUUUAAUUUUUCAUAUUUUAUUAUUAUCUAAUUUAGCCCCCGGUAAAUUAUUUUUUUAAAUCCGUCACUGGACCUAUCUCUUGGUAUUUAUAUUUGCCAUUUUUAUAAUAGAUUUUGAAUUUUAUUUAAUACAUUAAAUUUAAUUCAAAUGAUUAAACAAUCUUUAAUUGACAUAUGUAAUUAAAAAAAUCAAUAUAAUAUACUAAAAAUAACAACAUAAGUAUCAUAUAUUGUGUGUUAGAUACAUAUUUUAUUUUUCGUGCUCUGUUAAGGAAAACAUUAUUAAAUUUUUUUUACUAAUCAAAUAAUUUAUUUACAACUUGUCAUGUGUUUAAUAAAAAAAAAUAUAAGUAUUGUUAAUAUUUAUGAUGUUAUAUAUUUCAAAAUAUCAUAUUUUAUUUAUUUAUUUAUUUAUUGAACUGGGGCUCUAAAAAGAGCUAAAGAAGAACAGAACGGGGGUGAGAAACCCCGUAAAAGUUAUGAAGCAAAAGAGACCUAACACCUAAAGGUGGGGCAGUGUACACAAGAAGGCCAAAAGGAAGAGAAAAAGUGAGGUUCGCCAUAUAAUCUACAACGAAAUUGGCUUCUCUAUAGAUAUAGAAGAUGUCAUUUUUUUUUUUAAUAACACUUAUAUUCAUAUAUCAAAAUAAGAAAAAUAAACAUGUUAUUCAUAUAUAUAUAUAUAUAUAUAUAGAGAGAGAGAGAGAUUUAUUCACUCAUUGAAAUUUCAGACAAAAUAAAUAAAUGCUACCUAGCACUCCAAUUUAACGCCAAUCCACCCGGCAUGUUCCAAAAACUUUAGAUUAAAAUUAUUUUAGCAUACAGAGAUAGGAAUCACCUCAACGUGAAGCAGGCAUAAAUCUGAAUCCAGAAUUAGGUUCUGUCCAAUAUGAAAUAUCCACCGCGGAACAACUUUGUCUAUCCAAAUCUGGAAGUUUCUUGGGAAGGCCCAGAUUACUCUGCUGUUACCCGGACUUACUGGAGCACAAAUAAAAAUCAUAGCUACUCUUCGUUGCUUCAGCUUCUGCACCGAUCGAAAUUUAUAUGGACAAACAAUGCGGGAGCAACAUAGAAUAGGGAGUGAAAAGAGUGCAAAAUUCUAUCCGUCAGCUGAGCAUUACGAAACAUAUUGACUCUUACCUCUUCGGCUCCUCCCGAUGAUGCAGAUCCAUUUUCCUGAUUCUCCAGAAGAUCAAAAUAAACAACAAAGACACAAGGUGCCAAAAAUUUGGCACUUUCCGAAUCCUGCUUUGCAAUGAAACCAUUUAUGUCUAUUUUCUCGAAACUUAUUUUGAUUGGUCUUCCCCCUUCUCUAUCGAGCAUCACUGUAAAGAAAAUUUAGCAUUAGCUAAUGGGUUUUAUUAAUAUAGUUGACGUAAACGUAAAACAAGGUUUAUCCAGGAAUUUAUCAACCUUUGGGUUUCCUCGUACGCAUCAUUCCGUAAUGUGCAUAUGUAAGAUGAGCAGGAUCCAUAAGAUUUUCCAUUAGGACCUCAUAUCUGAAAAUGCAAUUUACUUACACUUAGAAAAAGCUGUUAACUUGCAUUUACCCGGCUGUCAUUACACUUGAGUUCAACUAGUUUUCUUAAUGAUUGUUGCCAAAUAUCAAUAUGGUACAAAUUCAAACUGGAAUUUCAAAUUAAAAAUGGAAAACCGGAUCACUGCAUACCCAUAAGGAACAUCCCUGCUUCCAAACAUUUUUGUAAAUGACGGGUCAUCGAGUUCCGGGAUGUGAGGAGGUUUCUUAGUCUUGAUAAUAUCCUUGCACUGAGGAGCAAUAUCUGGCCAAAACCAUAGGAUGCCAUUCUGUACGGCACUUGGAUAAACAGCUGCACAUGCUUUCUUGGAUGUGUGGACCUGCGUAUUUUGAUAAAUAAGUCAGUAAAAAUUAAAGCAAUCAGCCACCCAGCAAAGUAGAAUUCUUAACAACUUCUGCAUGCAAGAACGAAAAUCAAUACUAGAUUGCAGAAAAAUCACUACAAAAUUUUAUCAAGCAGGAAAUGGAAUCAUAACUCAUGUAUUCUGCUUAUCUUUCGUUGUUUCCUCACAAUCAAACUGAAGACGAGAGGUGUGGUGGCUUUAUCAAACAUUAAAUUAGCUACAGUUCUUUCAGAAUUAAACGUAUCCCAUUGGAAUUAGGCCCUUGACCUAUUUUAUUACUUCCAGUCUUUUAGUCCUUCAGGGAAUCUAAUUAGACCAAAAUAUAGCAAGGAAGUAGCAUCUCACUCUAGACGUAAUCAAGAAAACCGCAAAAGCAUACAUAGCAGCAUAAAAAAUAAUAAAACAUAUGAAUGUGAUGCAAAAGUGAAGCAAUCGAUGUUACCGGGGGGCCGUCUGGGGGAGCCUGAGGGAUAAAUUUACAGUCACCCGAGCCACUGAAGCACCAGCCAUGAUACGGACACUGAAGCCGUCCCCAUUGAUCAAUUCUUCCUUCUGACAAAGGAGCCAAUCUGUGAGGACAAGCAUCGGCAAAGACUCUCCAUUCAUUCUCAUUCCUGUCCCACCAAACCACGACAUCAAGCCCCAACACUUUCUUUGCAUGGGGGACUCUCUUGUCCAAAUCACACACCGGCAUCAAUGGAUACCACUGUGAGAACCAAUCAAAUUUUUCCUCUUGUGAGUUAGUUUCAGGCUCUGUCUCUGGUGGGUCUGUGGCUUCAGUUGAAACUUGAGAUGAUGGUGAUAAGGUGGUGAAGAGUUUGGAUGGUUUUGAUGAGAAAGAUGAUAAAGUGGAUAGUGGACUGAAGUGGAAGCUUAAGAGCUUGGGCUUAGCAGUGAAGUGGGUUCUGUUGUACUUAAGUUUUAAUGGAGUGUUAUAAAAUGGUGAAACUGAGGAGAGUAAGAGAGCUUCCAUGGCUGCAUGCAACACCUUACUCUGCACAAAAAUCGAGAUCAAGCAAGGUUAGAACUCGAGAUAAUUAUAGCUAAUUGCGAAUGAACGUGCGCCACAUGAGUCAUGAUCAGUGGACUCUGACCGUGACGCUGAAAAGUCCAACAUAAAUUAAUGCGUCUCUUAUGUUUGUGUCUUUCAUUUCAUUUCCUUGUAGUUGAAUCAGUCAACAUUUGUUGAGUCCAACUGAAUAAGUCAGGAGUCGUUGAGUGAUUUAAUAGCGCUAUACAAGUAGUGUGAAUGGAUGCCACAAAAUUAUUCAAUAGCUAAGCCGUUUUAUUUGACUGCUACGGGGGCCAAGGCUCCUCACUAUGCUAAACAGCCUCCGUAGAUUAUCUGCCAUCGAAAAUUCGCCGGAAAAAAAGAGAACGUCCCCUCAGUACCAGAUUCAAUUUUUAUUUGUUCAUGUAUGAGGAUAAUGAGAUGAGUUGGCUAGCUUUUGCAAAAUAUUUGUAGAGUAAUUGUUAAGGUCAAAAUUAUGUUUUAGGAUUUCUUUUUUUUUAUUAUUAUUAUUUGAAAAUUGGAAUUUUAUUUAAGAAAAAAGCAUAAUUUUAUCAAAUUAUAAUUAUGUUUGUGUAAGGCGACGCAUUUACUCGAUUUAUAAGUUUUGUUGAAUUUUUAUUAAUUUUCUUUUGGCACUUUAAAACAAACAUUUUACAUUUUUUUUUUAUAUUUUGUAAUAUUUAUGGAAAACAUUCUGUAUGAAGAACAUUUUUGCAUCUCUUUACUAGCGUACAUGCAUUAUUCAUGGUUAAGUUACACCUAAAUUAAUGGGUGAAUUGCAUUUUUCCUUGAGAAUUAAUAUUAGACAUGCAAAAUUAUGAACUUUUUAAUUUUAUGGGCAACAAUGUUGACUAUAUAAAUGAGAUGGUUUUUAGUUACAACUAAAUGAAUUAUUUUGGAAGCGUAUGUUUAACUAAUUAGACUAAAAUUAAUUUCAAAAAUAAAAACUUGACUUGUUUUGGUCAAAAUUGACUAAAAUUAAUUUCUAUUAUCUUAGUCAUGUAGGACAUGCAUAAGAUAAUGGACUAUUUUUACUAUAAAUUAUGUUGAAAUAAUGUAUCGUAUGUGUUAAGUCACCGACCAUAUUAAGUAGUUAAUGAUACGAUUCAACAUUACUAGUAAUAUCAUGGUAAAUGAAAAUAUCACCUAAUAAUUAAAGUUUUAAAUUCCUCUCAGAAAUUAAAAAAAAAAUUGAAUUAGCAGGUGUGACUUUUCUUUUGAAAUGACAUUACAUGAACUAGCAUUGCUAAUCAAAACAUAUCAUAAAUUGAAAUAAAUUUCUUUUCUUUUUUUUUCUUCUCUAUAACUUUUGCUCAUUUACAUUGAAGACCCAAAUAGUCGCUGGUGUGGGCUCGGCUGCGGAGCCCACGCCAGAUUUUGGAUAGAAAUCAUCAAAGGCUAAAAGUAGACCAUCUCAUUUGUCAAUUUCCACCAUUUUCUUAAGUAAAUAUAUACUUUGUAUCAUUAGUAAUGUGUCAUUAGCAAUUAAUUGACAUGUCUUAGCCUCUUAGGCGCCAAUUGGUUUUAGCUUUCAUUAUUGAUAAGAUAAUAUUACAUCACCAAUUAAAUGUUGACACAUCAUUGUUCAUAUCAUUUGGGGUGUAAAUUAUUUAUUCCAAUUGUAUAUUUGUAGCAUAACUCUUUCUUAUAUACACCUACUUAGAAGUUCUUUAAUCUAUUUUUUUCUUAUAUCUUCAAGCAAGAAUAUUAAAAGGACAUUGUCGUUGGAUUUCGAUUCAUGCUUUUACAGUCUUCUAGUAAAGAAAAAAGAUCGAGAAAAGAUAAUGGAAAUUUAUAUAUCAACAGCCAAUUGAAUAAGGAAUGAGAUCAACUAAAAAAAAACAGUAGCAGAAGUAGUCCAAUAACUAUUUUAUAAAUUUAGGAAAAGAAUAAAAUGUAUAUAGACUCAUCUUCCCUUUAAAAUACUUGUUUGGUAUAAUUUAUCUAACGGCUAUAAGUACUUAUUUAAUUUUAUAAGCUCUUUUUAAAUUAGUUAUUAGUGUUUUUUUAGUUGAUCUUUUUGAGUUCAAAUAAGUUAAUUUGUCUCCAUUAACAAAAUCUGGAAUUUGAGCUUUUAUGAAUGAAGAUUAAAGAACUUUUAAAUAUAUAUAUCAACAAUACCUGAAGAACAUUUCAUUAAUUACAUAAUACCCUUAUUUAUAUAUAAAACCUACAUAAUAACAAUUAAUUGCCACCAUUUGAUAAAAAACUAAUUGCUGCUACUUCUUUUUUUUUUUUUUUAUUCUAAUGAGAUUGCUACUGCUUUACUUAUUUUAUAAAAAACCUUACACAAAAUAAAUUAUUGCCAUCAUUUGAUAGAAAACUCAUUGUCACAACUUUGGUGAGGUGCAUAGCAGGUAUCGAUGUUUCCCUCAUCACUGUUAAAAUAAAUCUAGUUUAUUAGAAAUAUGAUGAACACAUUUCACUAUGCUACUAUUUGAUAUUUGAUACUUGCUACAGUUUUCAUUCUUCUUUUUAUUAUCUUAUUCAAGAAUGCAUGCCAAUUAUUAAUUUAUAUUUGAAAUUCAUUUCAUCUUCAUUUUAUUUGUGCAUUAUGUUUUUCAUGUAAUAAUAUUACAUAUCCUUUGUCUAGAAUCGUAACUGUUGCAAAGGAAAAGUAAAUCAAAGGCAGAUUGGGAUGAUGUUACCACUGGUGCUUUUAUUAAGAUUUGUAUGAGUGAGACAUUAGCUUGGAAUCAAACCAAAUAGUCACUUUAAUAUGAUUGGGUGGAAAAGUCUCGUUGCUAAUUUUUAUUCUAUGACCAAUGGAGAUUAUGAAUAGAAACAUUGAAAAAUAAGUGGGACAUCCUAAAAUAGAUUGGCAACUUUGGACAAACUUGCUGAGAAUGAAAUUGGUUUAGGAUGGGAUGUUGUAAAACAGACAAAUACUACUAGCGAUGACUGAUGGGAGAGAGGAUUGAAGUUGCAAAUUCUAACCUUCUUAUUUUUUGGUGUACUAGGAAAUGAUUUUAGGAGCAAUUUAGACAUAUUUUUUAACGCAUAAUCCUUUUGUAUUAUUGUAGGAGAUUCUCAAAACAAUUAAAAUUCGUUAUAAAGGCUUGAGAAAUGUUGACCAAUUAGAAAUUUUGUUUAAAGAUAUUGUUGCGCCAUCUAUGGGUUUUGUACCAAAUGAUGGUGAUAUUUAACCAUCUAAUUAAUAUGCUAGUAAAUAUAAUAAUACAUAUUUUUAGGAGAAGAAUGUCAAUAUUGAACUAACUAAUUUUGAUGGGUUAGAAAAUAUUGAGACUACACAUGAUAACGGAAGGAAAAGAAAAUUAUCAAUUGGAGUAAAUUAGUGUGUAAUGAGUUAGACUUUUGCAAAAAUUUUGUAGAGUAAUUAUUAAGGUCACAAUUUUGUUUUGGGAUUUCUUUUUUUAAUUAUUUAAACAAUGGAAUUUUAUUUAAGAAAGGUAUAAUUUUAUCAACCUGGGUGUUAGGAACUUUUUUUAAUAGAAUAUGUGUUAGGAUUCUAAUUAUAUGAAGUAGUGAAAUUCUAAUCUUAUGAAAUUAUUGAAAAACAAAACAACUAAUUCUUUAAAUUGUGGAUUGAUUUCUCGCAAUUGAUUCAAAUUAGCCUUUUAUAUUCAUGGCGUAUGACACUGUGUCCAAAUCACCCACCAACAUCACUAGAUACCAUUGUGAAAACUAGUAAAAAUGUUCUUCUUGUGUUCAUUCUGAAGCCGUGGUUCAGUUGUGUAUACGUUUUCUCUUGCAAUUGUUAAUGGUGAUGAUAAUGUACUUACAAUUACAACUGCUAAUGGUGAUGAUAAUUAUAUGUUUUCUAUUACAACUGCACUUUCUAAUUUCACUUGAUCAAAAUGUUUGCAUACAAGCUACAUUCCAGUAUUUACGUACAGAAAAAUAAGUUGUAUUUACAUAUUCUAAUUUUCGACGUUAAAUGCUAAGCUCAGCGAAGGGCAUGAUUGUAGUCAUGAUAAUGAAAGGUUUUGUAGAUGAAGUGAGACAACCAUUUUGAAGCCGCAAAGCAGAUUACUGCAAAUGAGAUGAUUGUAGUUCUUGUAGCCAUUGACAUGGCAUUCUGCUUGGUUGUAGCAACAAUCCCAAUUGAAGCAAUGGAGACGACUUGUAGCGUGACCUCAAGUGCGCUGAGACUCUUGUGUGCCGCAUUGCAACUUUUGCAAUUCACCACAUGAGACCAGUACCUGCAAAUUUGAAUAAAAUUCCUUUAAUUAAGUACGAAAUCUUAUGUUUUAAUGGGGUCACAACAAACUUCACAGUGUUCCCGUUUUCAAGGCAUUGCAUAAGAAAUUUGGCAAAACACAAAAGAAAAUGUUUCUCAAGCUUGAAGAAACAAAUAAUGCUUCUUUUAAAUAUCCAUAAACCUCUGCUCUUUAUAUGAGUUUCAAAACUGGGAACUACUGUAAAAUCCCAUGACAUGGUGUUAAGGGGUUCAAGUUUAUAAAAGUGAAGCCCAG